This 376-nucleotide long non-coding RNA is filed under the name Anser brachyrhynchus (Pink-footed goose). RNAcentral describes it as "lncRNA (ENSABRG00000013380.1)". The record is from RNAcentral. Lineage: Eukaryota; Metazoa; Chordata; Aves; Anseriformes; Anatidae.
CUUACAGAAUUUAUCCGUCACAAAGCACGUGCCUAGAAUUAACUUCUCAAACAGUGGGUUAUUUGAAGACGGUUAGAAAAUUGUUCCGGAUGGUAACGAGGUUAAGAAAUACUGUUCUGUACAUGAUACAAAACUGAUGACCGUAGCAGAUCCUUAUGAUGAAGAUUCUUGAAGUUGGAUUCAAACUCCAGUCACAGUACAUAUAUGUGAGUAAGAUUGAUUUCUACAAGCAAGAAUUUAGCAAUGUAGAAAGGACCAAUGAACGAACAUUUUUUGGAAGUGCCUAGGCAUUUGACUCCUCUUUUGGAAUCAAAUCUGGAGUCCAACCAGAUGUCUAUCUGUGUUUUCUAUAAGCUUUUAAAAUAUGAUUCUGAGU